RNAcentral lists this ribosomal RNA (407 nucleotides) under uncultured bacterium. Its description in RNAcentral is "bacterial SSU rRNA". It matches the Rfam family "Bacterial small subunit ribosomal RNA", at positions 355 to 774 of the family's 1533-position model. The record is from RNAcentral.
UGGGGAAUAUUGCACAAUGGGCGCAAGCCUGAUGCAGCAACGCCGCGUGAGGGCCGACGGCCUUCGGGUUGUAAACCUCUUUUGGCAGGGAAGAAGCGAAAGUGACGGUACCUGCAGAAAAAGCACCGGCUAACUACGUGCCAGCAGCCGCGGUGCUACGUAGGGUGCAAGCGUUGUCCGGAAUUAUUGGGCGUAAAGAGCUCGUAGGCGGUUUGUCGCGUCUGCUGUGAAAACCCGAGGCUCAACCUCGGGCCUGCAGUGGGUACGGGCAAACUAGAGUGCGGUAGGGGAGAUUGGAAUUCCUGGUGUAGCGGUGGAAUGCGCAGAUAUCAGGAGGAACACCGAUGGCGAAGGCAGAUCUCUGGGCCGUAACUGACGCUGAGGAGCGAAAGCAUGGGGAGCGAACA